UGGGGGAUAUUGCACAAUGGGCGAAAGCCUGAUGCAGCGACGCCGCGUGGGGGAUGAAGGCCUUCGGGUUGUACACUUCUUUUGCUCUGAACAAGGCAUGCUAAUGGGUGUGUUGAGUGUAGGGGUUGAGUAGCGCCGGCUAACUACGUGCCAGCAGCCGCGGUAAUACGUAGGGCGCGAGCGUUGUCCGGAAUUAUUGGGCGUAAAGGGCUUGUAGGUGGCUGGUUGCGUCUGUCGUGAAAGCUCAUGGCUUAACUGUGGGUUUGCUGUGGGUACGGGCUGGCUUGAGUGCAGUAGGGGAGGCUGGAAUGGCUGGUGUAGCGGUGGAAUGCGCAGAUAUCAGGACGAAUGCAGGUGGCGAAGGCGGGUCUCUGGGCUGUUACUGACACUGAGGAGCGAAAGCAUGGGGAGCGAACAGG
Molecule: ribosomal RNA, 419 nt
Filed under: bacterium
Lineage: Bacteria
Description: partial 16S ribosomal RNA
Rfam family: Bacterial small subunit ribosomal RNA
Source: RNAcentral